CUGACACAGGGAGGUAGUGACAAUAAAUAACAGUGCCGGGCCUUUCUAGGUCUGGCAAUUGGAAUGAGAAAUAUUUAAAUCCCCUAUCGAGGAUCAACUGAAGGGCAAGUCUGGUGCCAGCAGCCGCGGUAAUUCCAGCUUCAGUAGCGUAUAUUAAAGUUGUUGCAGUUAAAAAGCUCGUAGUCGCAUUUCUGGCGAGAGGAAUUGGUCCGACAUUUAUUGUGGGUACUCGAUUCUCUCUCGCCAUCCUUGAGUGGUCCGUUCUGGCAUUUAGUUGUCGGAGCGUCAGCCGCUCAUCGUUUACUGUGAGAAAAUUAGAGUGUUCAAAGCAGGCUUAUGCCGUUGAAUAUAUUAGCAUGGAAUAAUAAGAUAGGACUUCGGAACUAUUUGUUGGUUUGCGUUACGAAGUAAUGAUUAAUAGGGACAGUUGGGGGUAUUCGUAUUUCGUUGUCAGAGGUGAAAUUCUUGGAUUUCCG
This 476-nucleotide ribosomal RNA is filed under the name uncultured diatom. Its description in RNAcentral is "SSU rRNA". It matches the Rfam family "Eukaryotic small subunit ribosomal RNA", at positions 451 to 930 of the family's 1831-position model. Lineage: Eukaryota; Bacillariophyta. The record is from RNAcentral.